This is a long non-coding RNA of Sphaerodactylus townsendi, 764 nucleotides long. RefSeq lists it as uncharacterized. The transcript is spliced from 5 exons. The record is from RefSeq and is a predicted model, not a curated record. NCBI's taxonomy places the organism in Eukaryota, Metazoa, Chordata, Lepidosauria, Squamata, Sphaerodactylidae.
UCAAGGACUAGCGAUCAGGCAAUGUGUAGGACAGACCCUGGAUGGGGGCUUGCUGAGAGAGGACGGUCUUUUUUUUUACCUGCGCCAAAAUUCAAGUCAAGUGAAGGAAGGCUCGGUAGGAGACGGUUGUGCUGAAGCAGUCUCGCUGUGAAGGUACCCACAGUCUCAUCAUUACACUGCACAGGCCUUGGGCAGAUGAUCAACCUAUUUUCUUCCACUGUCAUAGAAUGAAUGAGAAGGUUGUGAAAAGAGUCCUGUGAACAUGCAGCUCCAGUUAAGAGAAUGCUGGGGUCUAUUGCCUUUCUGUGGAGAGUACCAAACAUAAGGCAUGUUUGGAGGUGACUCAAGGGCAAGUAAGGGCCAAACUAUAUGCCAAGAAAAAUAGCAUGCUACAGUCCAUCUGGGAUUAAACCACUUCAAACUGUAGUUCAUUGUGGAAUCGAUGCUCCAAUGCUUCACAGUGGGGUGCUGCGAUUAUCUGCGCCUUCUACACUCCAACCUUCAAAGAUUAGUCCACCAAAACUGAAGAAUCUCUGCUAAAAUGCCCCCAAAAUAGGUGAGAGGGAAUGGAGAGCGAGCUGAGAAAAUGGCGCUAAGGAGGAAGUCUGGGUACUACACAGAGCUCCUGUCAAAACUUGUGAACAUAUACAAGACAGAGGAACCAUAAAGCGCCAACAAUACCACCAGUGCAUUCUUAAAUCAAUAAAGAUCUCAUUGUUUAAACCAUAAGAAUGAUAUGCUUUUAACUUGAAAAUAAAUCUAGC